AAUUAUUCAAUCCUUUAAAUACCAACUAGACUACCCGCAAUUUUUUCAAAUUUCACAUCAUUAUAUCUCACACGCAUUUAACAGUUUUUUGUCAACCUGCAAAUUUUUCUCAUCGAUAUAUCAAUUUUUCUGCUCCAAGAAGCAAAAAAUUGGUGAUAACUCAAUCAAUUUUAUAGAUAGAUCAAUUUAACUCGAGAAAUCAUAUUCCUGGAAUCAAAAUAUGACGCUUUUCUAAUGUAUUUUGACGUCAGGCACACGAAUUCGUUGACUAAAUUGAGCUACAAAUUUUUUCUAUCGAGAUAUCUCAAUUUUUCUGCUUCAAGAAGCGGAAUUCAGAUUCCUGAGAUCAAAGGGCCAGGCAUUGACUUUGCUGUUUACCUGUGACCUUCGGUGCCCUGUAGCAUCCUGUAGUGCCUGAACGUGACGCCUUCGACCAUGAGUUGUUUAUCUCAUAAAUUACGUCGUUUGGUUUACCCUGUCACCCCUUGCAAGGCCGACUCUGAAUUUAGAAUCACCCUGUAUA
Molecule: unclassified non-coding RNA, 523 nt
Filed under: Athalia rosae (coleseed sawfly)
Lineage: Eukaryota; Metazoa; Arthropoda; Insecta; Hymenoptera; Athaliidae
Description: misc RNA ENSAEAG00005012226.1
Source: RNAcentral